Molecule: RNA transcript, 1843 nt
Organism: Enhydra lutris kenyoni (northern sea otter)
Lineage: Eukaryota; Metazoa; Chordata; Mammalia; Carnivora; Mustelidae
Gene name: zinc finger protein 559-like
Exons: 7
Source: RefSeq, a predicted model, not a curated record
ACUGCUGCUUAAUAAAGAAGAAUUGAGAUUGACCUCUAAACUCAGACACUGUCUUGAAGGACUUUGAGAACAAGAAGGGUUCAGGCAGAUUUUACUGUCAUACCUACAGGAUGCCAGCCUUUGAUCUUUUCUCUUGUGGUCACCUUUCUCAAGACUUUUUCUGUCUUCGUGAGGAGAAGUCAGAAGGGGAAAGGAUAAUGACCAGGUGUCUAACAAAUGUUUCUCGCGACCCAGUGACCUUUGAGGAUGUGGCUGUGGAAUUCACCCAGGAGGAGUGGACUUUGCUGGAUCAAACCCAGAGAGGUCUGUGCAGAGAUGUGAUGCUGGAGAACUACAACAGUCUGACUGCAAUAGAUUGGGAGAUUUGUCUUAAUACCAAAUGGUCAGCACCUCAGCAGAAUAUUUUGCAGGGGAAAACACCCAAUGUGGUAGAAAUGGAGAGAAGCCAUAUUGGAGAGUAAUUGUUUAAUUUUCACCAUUGGGAAGAAGCCUUGAGUGAACACUCCUUUAAGAUUCAUAGAGUACUCACAUUAGAAAGAAAACUUGUGAGUGCAACCAGUGUGUAAAAGCAUUCACAAAGAACUCUGCCCUUAAUCUACACAAUAAGACCCAUAAUGGAGAAAAGCCUCCUAAGUGUAAUCAGUGUGAAACAGUCUUCAGCCAAAAUCCAUAUCUGGUUCACAAGAAAACUUACACUCAAAAGAAACCCUAUAAAUGUACAACUGUGGGAAAGGCAUUCCUUCUUCCUUACACCUUAGAGAAUGUGUAAGAAUUAAUAGUGGAGAAAGGCCACAUACCCUUAAGGAAUGUAGGAAAGCUUUUUCUCAUUCUAUAGGCUUUUUUGUACAUACGCAAAUGAACAAUAGAAAGAAGUCUUAGAAAUUGUAAGAAUGUGGGAAAACCUUUAUUUGAUCUUGUCUUACUCAUCAUUUAAGAACUCAUAGUGAACUGAUGGCCUAUGGAAUGUAAGAAAUUUGAGAAAGCCUUUCCUUGUUCCCCAAACCUUGCUUAAAUUAUACAACUUCAUAUGAGAAACAUUGUGUUUUCAAGGAGUGUAGUAAAGAGUUUGUUUCCCAAAAACUUAAUACUCACAUGUGAGUUCACCCUGGAGAAAAAACCAUAUGAGUGUAGCAAAUAACCUGGAAACCUUCACCGAUUCUGCAGGUCUUAUAAAACACAAAAGAACUCACACUGGAGAGAAGACUUAGGAAUGUAAGGAACGUGGAAAAGGCUUUGUUCCUUACACCUUACUGUACAUUUAAGAACUCAAACUGGCAAGAAGCCUUAUGUUUGUAAGGAAGGUCGGAAAGCCUUUAGUAACUCAUCUUGCUUUAAAUUCACAUGCAAACUCUAAAACCCUGUAAUGGUAAGCAGUGUGGGAAAGCCUUUAUUUGAUCCUCAUUUCUUAUUCAACAUUUAGGAACUCACAGUGUAGAAAACCUUUUGAAUGUAAGGAAAUAUGGGAAAGUAUCGAAAGACCUUUUGAAUGUAAGGAAAUAUAGGAAAUCAUUUAGAUAUUCCUCAUACUUUAGUCAACAUAACACAUACUGGAGAGAAGCCAUGUAAAUGUAAAAAAUGUGAGAGAGCCUUCACUAUUUCAUCAGGCCUUAUAGUACAAAUGAGAACUCACACUGGUGGAUGACCUUUUGAAUGUAAGGACUGUGGGAAAGCCUUUACUCAGUCCACAUAUUUUAUUCAACAUUUAAGAACUCACAGUGGAGAAAACCCAUACAUAGAUGAGGAAUGUGGGAAAACCUUUAAUAAUAGUUCUGACCUCACAGACUGCCUGAAAGUGUCUUGGGGUCUCUCAGUCUGGCAACAACAUUUUGAGAACUGCUGUUAG